Molecule: unclassified non-coding RNA, 421 nt
Filed under: fungal sp.
Lineage: Eukaryota; Fungi
Description: partial internal transcribed spacer region
Rfam family: Eukaryotic large subunit ribosomal RNA (bases 225-421)
Source: RNAcentral
GAGAACCAAGAUAUCCAUUGUUAACAGUUGUAUAGUUUUUUGUUAUAGCUCAACUCAAGUUAAAGAGGAACUGUCGUCAUGUUAAGUGGUUGUUGAGGGAGCGUUAGCUCGCUGACCCAGUCGCCGGCCGUGUGGGCCUCCAGCGAUCGUUACUGCGUCACCCUUCAAGCACGAUCCAGAGGCACUCUGUCAGAGCUUUGAUGUGGUCCAGGUGCCAGGUCACUUGCCUUCACCGGAGUUGGAAAUUAAUCUCAUUCCGGCGGUGUUGAAAAUACUGGCGAGAGACCGAUAGCGAACAAGUACCGUGAGGGAAAGAUGAAAAGAACUUUGAAAAGAGAGUUAAGUUCACAGGGUUGUUUAACGUUGGAUACGUGUUAAUGAUCCUUCCGCAGGUUCACCUACGGAAACCUUGUUACGACUU